Molecule: long non-coding RNA, 171 nt
Organism: Sander lucioperca (pikeperch)
Lineage: Eukaryota; Metazoa; Chordata; Actinopteri; Perciformes; Percidae
Exons: 2
Source: RefSeq, a predicted model, not a curated record
UAUAUAUCUAUGCUAUAUACUAUCUAAUACUGGCUAUGCCUUGUUGUGAAUAGAAUGAAAGAGAGCUGUGGCUGAAUCCACUGUCGUCACGGAGUUAAAGGCAGUGAAUUCCAUUAAAAUGGUGGAGGACGUGGAGAUUUGAGAAGCGCUACUCACGGGAGGUCCGGUCCA